GACGAACGCUGGCGGCGUGCUUAACACAUGCAAGUCGAACGGACAGGCCCUGCUUUUGUGGGUUGCUUGAGUGGCGAACGGGUGUGUAACACGUGAGUAACCUGCCCUUGACUUUGUGAUAACUUCAGGAAACUGGGGCUAAUACCGGAUAGGAGCUCUUGAUGCGUGGUGGGGGUAGGAAAGUUUCGGCGGUUGGGGCUGGAUUCGCGGCUUAUCAGCUUGUUGGUCGGGUAGUGGCUUACCAAGGCUUUGACGGGUAGCCUGCCUGAGAGGGUGACCGGCCACAUUGGGACUGCGGGACGGACCAGAAUGCUACGGGCGGCAGAAGUGGGGAGUAUUGCAGAAUGGGCGGAAGCCUGAUGCAGCGGCGCCGCGUGCGGGAUGACGGCCUUCGGGUGGAAAACCGCUUUCGCCUGUGAUGAAGCGUGCUUGACGGUAAUGGGUAAAGAAGCAACGGCUAACUACGUG
This 468-nucleotide ribosomal RNA is filed under the name uncultured bacterium. RNAcentral describes it as "partial 16S ribosomal RNA". It matches the Rfam family "Bacterial small subunit ribosomal RNA", at positions 28 to 507 of the family's 1533-position model. The record is from RNAcentral.